GCCCUGGUGGUCUAGCGGUUAAGAUUCAGCACUCUUACCACCGUGGCCCAGGUUCAUUUCCUGGUCAGGGGA
Molecule: transfer RNA, 72 nt
Filed under: Equus caballus (horse)
Lineage: Eukaryota; Metazoa; Chordata; Mammalia; Perissodactyla; Equidae
Rfam family: tRNA
About the family: Transfer RNA (tRNA) molecules are approximately 80 nucleotides in length.
Source: Rfam by way of RNAcentral